Molecule: ribosomal RNA, 396 nt
Filed under: Deltaproteobacteria bacterium
Lineage: Bacteria; Pseudomonadati; Myxococcota; Myxococcia
Description: bacterial SSU rRNA
Rfam family: Bacterial small subunit ribosomal RNA
Source: RNAcentral
UUUAUGGAGAGUUUGAUCCUGGCUCAGAACGAACGCUGGCGGCGUGCCUGAGACAUGCAAGUCGUGGGAGAAUGUCGUAGCAAUACGGCUAGUAAACCGGCGUACGGGUGAGUAACACGUGGAUAACGUGCCUUGGAGUCUGGGAUAACCCGUCGAAAGACGGGCUAAUACCAGGUAAGACCACGGGAAGUUCGCUUCCUGAGGUAAAAGGUGGCCUCUGCUCCUGCAAGCUAUCGCUCCUCGAGCGGUCCGCGGCCUAUCAGCUAGUUGGUGAGGUAACGGCUCACCAAGGCUAAGACGGGUAGCUGGUCUGAGAGGAUGGUCAGCCACACUGGGACUGAGACACGGCCCAGAGUCCUACGGGAUGCAGCAGUCAGGAAUAUUGCGCAAUGGAGG